Molecule: long non-coding RNA, 590 nt
Organism: Oxyura jamaicensis (ruddy duck)
Lineage: Eukaryota; Metazoa; Chordata; Aves; Anseriformes; Anatidae
Exons: 3
Source: RefSeq, a predicted model, not a curated record
AAGCAAAUAUGUUUAAAGGAGACAAACUUGUUGAGGUCCUUGAAGUUAGCAGCUGCACUUGAAAACCAGAGGUCUCAUCUUUCUGAGCCUCAGUUUCCUCAUUUGGCAAACUGACAACUCCUGUUCUUGUGAGUGCCCUUCAGAAGUGAUUUUUUGGCAAAUCUAUAGUUCCUUAAAGAAAUUUACCCUACUCAAGCAGUGGUAUAUGAAUUUUGUGUCUAUUGAAAGAACUUGGAUGGGCCAAGGGAGAGAGCAUGUCCUGCAUUCAAGUAUAAACACAAUGUGAAGAAACUGGAUGAAGGAAACUUGAACUCUGGCAGAAAGGGGAGCUUGUCCAUAGAAGGCUGGGGAUAAUCUGCCACUGUAGUAUGUAAAUAUAGUAUAGUUUGUAUGUUCAGUAUAGAAAUGAUACAAAACCUUAUAGAGAACGUUUAGGCAGGUGAGGAUAAAAAGAAACAAGCAAAAUACUUAGAUAUAAUAUGAAAUUUUCCUGUUCUGGAAAAAUAGCUCAGACUCUUGCAGCACCCUACAGCUGCAUCAGCUUCCAUCACAUAAAAGACAUACCAUCUAGACUGAUCUUCUAAAUUGCU